GCACUGCUGAGGAGUUCCACAAUAGGACGAAAAGGCCAUCCAGUGC
RNAcentral lists this non-coding RNA (46 nucleotides) under Schistosoma mattheei. Lineage: Eukaryota; Metazoa; Platyhelminthes; Trematoda; Strigeidida; Schistosomatidae. The record is from RNAcentral.